RNAcentral lists this long non-coding RNA (217 nucleotides) under Mytilus galloprovincialis (Mediterranean mussel). The record is from RNAcentral. Lineage: Eukaryota; Metazoa; Mollusca; Bivalvia; Mytilida; Mytilidae.
GGGGGGAGGGGGAGGGGGUAUUACAAUUGAUUAAGUUAGUUUAUAUAUCGGGUUCACAACAACACAAAUGUGGAAAUAAUUGGAAGGACAGGACUUUUCUCCUUUCGUUAUAGAAAACCACCAACGUACUUAUGUUUAUCUUCAGGCGCAUGCCUAAUCAAAGUUUCCAAAAUAAAUAUAUGUAAAAUUUUUAAUCAAAACAUAAUUAUAACAAAAU